UUGAGCUUGAUCCUGGCUCAGGACGAACGCUGGCGGCGUGCCUAAUACAUGCAAGUCGAGCGGAUCAAAGGGAGCUUGCUCCCUGAGAUUAGCGGCGGACGGGUGAGUAACACGUGGGCAACCUACCUAUAAGAUUGGGAUAACUCCGGGAAACCGGGGCUAAUACCGGGUAAUCCGUUUCUCCUCAUGGAGGAGCGGUAAAAGAUGGCUUCGGCUAUCACUUAUAGAUGGGCCCGCGGCGCAUUAGCUAGUUGGUAAGGUAAUGGCUUACCAAGGCGACGAUGCGUAGCCGACCUGAGAGGGUGAUCGGCCACACUGGGACUGAGACACGGCCCAGACUCCUACGGGAGGCAGCAGUAGGGAAUCUUCCGCAAUGGACGAAAGUCUGACGGAGCAACGCCGCGUGAGUGAUGAAGGUUUUCGGAUCGUAAAGCUCUGUUGUUAGGGAAGAACAAGUGCCGUUUGAAUAAGGCGGCACCUUGACGGUACCUACCAGAAGCCCG
Molecule: ribosomal RNA, 503 nt
Filed under: Bacillus sp. M8-C15
Lineage: Bacteria; Bacillati; Bacillota; Bacilli; Caryophanales; Bacillaceae
Description: bacterial SSU rRNA
Rfam family: Bacterial small subunit ribosomal RNA
Source: RNAcentral